Molecule: ribosomal RNA, 214 nt
Filed under: uncultured bacterium
Lineage: Bacteria
Description: partial 16S ribosomal RNA
Rfam family: Bacterial small subunit ribosomal RNA
Source: RNAcentral
GCGACGAUCAGUAGCCGACCUGAGAGGGUGACCGGCCACAUUGGGACUGAGACACGGCCCAAACUCCUACGGGAGGCAGCAGUGGGGAAUUUUCGGCAAUGGGCGAAAGCCUGACCGAGCAACGCCGCGUGAACGAUGAAGGCCUUCGGGUCGUAAAGCUCUGUCCUCAAGGAAGAUAAUGACGGUACUUGAGGAGGAAGCCCCGGCUAACUAC